Amphiprion ocellaris (clown anemonefish) is the source of this 1377-nucleotide long non-coding RNA. The record is from Ensembl. Lineage: Eukaryota; Metazoa; Chordata; Actinopteri; Pomacentridae.
GUUUAAGGAGAGGUUGCUAAUAUACAGAACUUUAAUUUCGGUACACUGAGCAUUGAACAUUGAUCUUCCUGAGACUCUGAGAAGCUAAACACUCAUUGCAUUUGUAAUCUGUACUCUGAAACUACAGUGAUGGAGUGUUUACUGGAUCCCCCUCUUAUGGCGAAAAUGAAAACCACUGAGGUUAAAUAUGAUUACCUCAACCCUGAGAUCAUCAGAGAGAUGUCGUCAUUGCAGCCCAUAAAGAGCAGCAGAGGUGAGAAGAUUCAUCUGGCUCUGGAGGAAGGCAUGCAGCAGGGCACGAUGGAGGCCGAGGGCAAAAUACUCUCUGUUGAGGAAAUACGGAGAAAACUUUUGCACGAGGAGGCAUGCAUAAAUAAGAAGAUAGAGGAGCUGGAGAUGGGGAGACAGGAAAUGAGUAAAGAGAGAGAAGUCUUUCAAAGAGAGUCAGCUAAAAUGACGGAGAUGAGGAGCGCCUUCCUCUUGGAGAAAGAAAACAUGGGAAGAGAAAGAAAGGCUUUCAAGAGAGAACACAAGGCAAAACAGAGGAGGAAAAAGGCCUUUAAUUCUGAGAAAGACGCCAUGUUGGAGGUGAGGAGGGCCUUCGACGUGGAAAAGGAAGACAUGGAAAUGAUGAGAAAGACCUUCGCUCAAGAACAGGCCGACAUGCAGAAGAUGAGGGAGGAUUUCCAGUUGGAGAAAGACAACAUUAUGAAAGAAAGACAAAUCUUCAACAAGGAAGUCAAGGUCCAGCGCAUGAGGAGGAGGGCCUUCGAUGCUCAGGAUGAUGCCAUGUGUGAAGACAGGAAGUCCUUCAAGAUAGAGAAGGAAGAGAUGGCCAUGAUGAGGAAGGCCUACAUUCAGGAGAAGGCUGGCAUCCAGAAGGCGAGGGAGGCUUUCCAGCAGGAGAAGGAAAGCAUGGAGAAAGACAGAAAAGCCUUUUGGAAAGAACUUAAAGCUAAAUGCAAGAGGAUGAAAGCCUUCAGAGCUGAGAAGGAGGCCAUGUGUGAGGAGAGGAAGGCGUUUCAGGCAGAAAAGGAGGAGAUGGAAAAGCUGAGGAAAGUCUUCAUGCAAGAAAAGACAGAGGUCCAGCAGACGAGAGAGGCUUUGAGCAGAAAGACAGAUACGAUGGUGCAGAAGAAAAAUGCAUCAAAGAAAACAAGUCAGAGACCAGUCAGCACAGACGCUCCAACCAGCUGCAUUUCAGUUUGUGCUUGUAAGGAUGAACAGAGUAACUGUGGCAGCACCAAGAAAGGCAAACAACGAAGAUGGACGAGGCAGUGGACUUGUAAAUCUUAACCAGCCAAUGUGCCAUCACAGGCAUUAACUAAAUAUAUAUGUUGGCAUUUAUUCAUAUACAACAAGUAUGCUAAAUAAAUU